CAGUAAGGAAUAUUGGUCAAUGGGGGGGAGUCUGAACCAGCCAUGCCGCGUGCAGGACGACGGCCCUAUGGGUUGUAAACUGCUUUUGUAGAGGAAUAAACCUUUCUACGUGUAGAAAGCUGAAUGUACUGUACGAAUAAGGAUCGGCUAACUCCGUG
RNAcentral lists this ribosomal RNA (158 nucleotides) under uncultured bacterium. RNAcentral describes it as "partial 16S ribosomal RNA". It matches the Rfam family "Bacterial small subunit ribosomal RNA", at positions 352 to 507 of the family's 1533-position model. The record is from RNAcentral.